UGGGGAAUAUUGGACAAUGGGCGAAAGCCUGAUCCAGCCAUGCCGCGUGUGUGAAGAAGGCCUUAUGGUUGUAAAGCACUUUAAGUGGGGAGGAAAAGCUUAUGGAUAACACCCAUAGGUUCUGACGUUACCCACAGAAUAAGCACCGGCUAACUCUGUGCCAGCAGCCGCGGUAAUACAGAGGGUGCAAGCGUUAAUCGGAAUUACUGGGCGUAAAGCGAGCGUAGGUGGUUUAUUAAGUCAGAUGUGAAAUCCCUGGGCUUAACCUAGGAACUGCAUCUGAUACUGAUAAACUAGAGUAAGUGAGAGGAAAGUAGAAUUCCAGGUGUAGCGGUGAAAUGCGUAGAGAUCUGGAGGAAUACCGAUGGCGAAGGCAGCUUUCUGGCAUCAUACUGACACUGAGGUUCGAAAGCGUGGGUAGCAAACAGGAUUAGAUACCCUGGUAGUCCACGCCGUAAACGAUGUCUACCAGUCGUUGGGUCUUUUAAAGGCUUAGUGACGCAGUUAACGCGAUAAGUAGACCGCCUGGGGAGUACGGCCGCAAGGUUA
Molecule: ribosomal RNA, 549 nt
Filed under: uncultured bacterium
Lineage: Bacteria
Description: bacterial SSU rRNA
Rfam family: Bacterial small subunit ribosomal RNA
Source: RNAcentral